CCCAUUGGUAGGCAACUGCCUAGGUUGCCUUGUACCUAGGCAAGUGUUACCCUGCUGGGAGAAGAGCAGCCAGUAGCUGGCGGGCAUUCUGGGCCUGGUUAAUGCCAAAUU
Molecule: small nucleolar RNA, 111 nt
Filed under: Ochotona princeps (American pika)
Lineage: Eukaryota; Metazoa; Chordata; Mammalia; Lagomorpha; Ochotonidae
Description: Small nucleolar RNA SNORA74 (ENSOPRG00000023458.1)
Source: RNAcentral